This 253-nucleotide ribosomal RNA is filed under the name uncultured bacterium. RNAcentral's name for it is "partial 16S ribosomal RNA". It matches the Rfam family "Bacterial small subunit ribosomal RNA", at positions 524 to 776 of the family's 1533-position model. The record is from RNAcentral.
UACGUAGGGUGCAAGCGUUGUCCGGAAUUAUUGGGCGUAAAGAGCUCGUAGGCGGUCUGUCGCGUCGGAUGUGAAAACCCAGGGCUCAACCCUGGGCCUGCAUUCGAUACGGGCAGACUAGAGUUCGGUAGGGGAGACUGGAAUUCCUGGUGUAGCGGUGAAAUGCGCAGAUAUCGGGAGGAACACCCGUAGCGAAGGCGGCACUCUGGGCCGGUACUGACGCUGAGGAGCGAAAGCGUGGGGAGCAAACAGG